GCCGCCGUAGAGAAAUGGUUAGUACACCUUUAGUCCUUCCCUGCCUGUGUUCGAUUCACCUUACUGACAGUCUACAUUUCCAGGUAACUCGUCAGCCUCCUAUACAGGCAAGCUGAAGACUGUGGGUUCGAGUCCCGCCGGCGGUG
Molecule: non-coding RNA, 146 nt
Organism: Cladorrhinum sp. PSN332
Lineage: Eukaryota; Fungi; Ascomycota; Sordariomycetes; Sordariales; Podosporaceae
Source: the annotation of a GenBank genome assembly